AUGGAGAGGAUACAAAAACUUGUAAAUGGAUGGAAAGAGAGAACCCUCUCAUUUGGAGGAAAGCAGGCCUUACUGAAAGCAGUGGCCCAAAUCAUCCCUACAUACACGAUGAGUGUGUUUAAAUUCCCUAAAAAAUGUAAGGGGAUCACUGAUGCAAUGUCAUAGUAUUGGUGGGGUGACGAGGAUGACCAGUGAAGGAUGCAUUGGUUUGCAUGAUGAAAAAUAUGUGUGCCAAAGGAACGAGGAGGUAUGGGUUUUCAUGACGUUCAUAGUUUUAAUUUGGUGAUGCUAGCAAAACAGUGCUGGAGGUUGAUUGACAACAAUGAAUCAUUGUGUGCCAGAGUGUUGGGAUCUUGA
RNAcentral lists this ribosomal RNA (357 nucleotides) under Triticum aestivum (bread wheat). Its description in RNAcentral is "partial small subunit ribosomal RNA". Lineage: Eukaryota; Viridiplantae; Streptophyta; Magnoliopsida; Poales; Poaceae. The record is from RNAcentral.